RNAcentral lists this ribosomal RNA (740 nucleotides) under uncultured archaeon. RNAcentral describes it as "bacterial SSU rRNA". It matches the Rfam family "Archaeal small subunit ribosomal RNA", at positions 1 to 750 of the family's 1478-position model. The record is from RNAcentral.
UUCCGGUUGAUCCUGCCGGACCCGACUGCUAUCAAAGUGGGACUAAGCCAUGCGAGUCAACAUAGCAAUAUGUGGCAUACGGCUCAGUAACACGUAGUCAACAUGCCCAGGGGACGUGGAUAACCUCGGGAAACUGAGGAUAAACCGCGAUAGGUCAUCACUUCUGGAAUGGGUAAUGACUUAAAUCUAUAUGGCCCCUGGAUUGGACUGCGGCCGAUCAGGCUGUUGGUGAGGUAAUGGCCCACCAAACCUGUAACCGGUACGGGCUCUGAGAGGAGGAGCCCGGAGAUGGGCACUGAGACAAGGGCCCAGGCCCUAUGGGGCGCAGCAGGCGCGAAACCUCUGCAAUAGGCGAAAGCUUGACAGGGUUACUCUGAGUGAUUUCCGUUAAGGAGAUCUUUUGGCACCUCUAAAAAUGGUGCAGAAUAAGGGGUGGGCAAGUCUGGUGUCAGCCGCCGCGGUAAUACCAGCACCCCGAGUGGUCGGGACGUUUAUUGGGCCUAAAGCAUCCGUAGCCGGUUCUACAAGUCUUCCGUUAAAUCCACCUGCUUAACAGAUGGGCUGCGGAAGAUACUAUAGAGCUAGGAGGCGGGAGAGGCAAGCGGUACUCGAUGGGUAGGGGUAAAAUCCGUUGAUCCAUUGAAGACCACCAGUGGCGAAGGCGGCUUGCCAGAACGCGCUCGACGGUGAGGGAUGAAAGCUGGGGGAGCAAACCGGAUUAGAUACCCGGGUAGUCCCAG